GAUGAAGAACGCAGCGAAAUGCGAUAAGCAAUGUGAAUUGCAGAAUUCAGUGAAUCAUCGAAUCUUUGAACGCACCUUGCGCCUUUUGGUAUUCCGAAAGGCACACCUGUUUGAGCGUCAUGAAUACCUCAAUCUCCAUCUUUUCUUCGGAUUGAUGGGUGACUUGGAUGUUGAGCCCUGCUGGUAUGCUAUAUCAGCUGGCUUUAAACUUAUUAGCCGGCUCUGUACUGGAUCGGUUUGACUCGACGUGAUAAUAUUAUCGUUGAGGAUGCAUGUCUCAUGCAGCCGGAAAGUAUCAAAGCAGCUUCUAGCUUGCCUUUAGUGCACUUUUACAUUUUAGACCUCAGAUCAGGUGGGACUACCCGCUGAACUUAAGCAUAUCAAUAAGCGGAGGA
This 395-nucleotide unclassified non-coding RNA is filed under the name soil metagenome. RNAcentral describes it as "partial contains 5.8S ribosomal RNA, internal transcribed spacer 2, and large subunit ribosomal RNA". The stretch from base 1 to 120 matches the Rfam family "5.8S ribosomal RNA", at positions 35 to 154 of the family's 154-position model. The record is from RNAcentral.